RNAcentral lists this long non-coding RNA (280 nucleotides) under Equus caballus (horse). Its description in RNAcentral is "lncRNA (ENSECAG00000045019.1)". The record is from RNAcentral. Lineage: Eukaryota; Metazoa; Chordata; Mammalia; Perissodactyla; Equidae.
GAGAGUGGGAAACAGUCUCUGUUAUUUGGUUCCUUUGUUUUGUUAGACCUGUAGACAUAAAGUGUUUAAACUCUUAAUGCAGAAACCGAAAGUGCAGGGAGAAGACCGAGAGAAAGUAUAAAAUAAGAUAUCAAAAAAGGAGAAACCGGAAUAGAAAUCAAGCUCCAGAAAGCCGUCGGAAGUGGAAAUGCAGGGAGGCCUCAGGGCAUAUUAGAAAAGGAGUCAUGAUGGGACCAGAACGGCUGGAAAAGUCAGACAUAUACCCCCUUCCCGAGAAGGC